RNAcentral lists this ribosomal RNA (1360 nucleotides) under uncultured rumen bacterium. RNAcentral's name for it is "bacterial SSU rRNA". It matches the Rfam family "Bacterial small subunit ribosomal RNA", at positions 43 to 1377 of the family's 1533-position model. The record is from RNAcentral.
CAGGCCUAACACAUGCAAGUCGAACGGAGUUUUGAUGUGAGCGAGAGGUAGCUUGCUAUUAAUCAAUCUUUUCAAAACUUAGUGGCGGACGGGUGAGUAACGCGUGGGUAACCUGCCCUGUACAGGGGGAUAACAGUUGGAAACGACUGCUAACACCGCAUAACAUCGCGAGGGCGCAUGACCUUGCGAUCAAAUAUUUAUAGGUACAGGAUGGGCCCGCGUCUGAUUAGCUAGAUGGUGAGGUAACGGCCCACCAUGGCGACGAUCAGUAGCCGUACUGAGAGGUAGAACGGCCACAUUGGGACUGAGACACGGCCCAAACUCCUACGGGAGGCAGCAGUGAGGAAUAUUGGUCAAUGGGCGAGAGCCUGAACCAGCCAAGUAGCGUGCAGGAUGACGGCCCUAUGGGUUGUAAACUGCUUUUGUACGGGAAUAAAGUGACCUACGUGUAGGUUUUUGCAUGUACCGUAAGAAUAAGGACCGGCUAAUUCCGUGCCAGCAGCCGCGGUAAUACGGAAGGUCCGGGCGUUAUCCGGAUUUAUUGGGUUUAAAGGGAGCGUAGGCCGUUCCUUAAGCGUGUUGUGAAAUGUAGGCGCCCAAHGUCUGCACUGCAGCGCGAACUGGGGAACUUGAGUACGCAGGAAGCAGGCGGAAUUCGUCGUGUAGCGGUGAAAUGCUUAGAUAUGACGAAGAACUCCGAUUGGGAAGCCAGCCUGCUGUAGCGCCACUGACGCUGAUGCUCGAAAGCGUGGGUAUCGAACAGGAUUAGAUACCCUGGUAGUCCACGCGGUAAACGAUGGAUGCUCGCUGUGUGCCUUUGAGGUACGUGGCCAAGGGAAACCAUUAAGCAUCCCACCUGGGGAGUACGCCGGCAACGGUGAAACUCAAAGGAAUUGACGGGGGCCCGCACAAGCGGAGGAACAUGUGGUUUAAUUCGAUGAUACGCGAGGAACCUUACCCGGGCUUGAACUGCCAGCGAACGAUACAGAGAUGUUGAGGCCCUUCGGGGCGCUGGUGGAGGUGCUGCAUGGUUGUCGUCAGCUCGUGCCGUGAGGUGUCGGCUUAAGUGCCAUAACGAGCGCAACCCCUUUCGUUAGUUGCCAUCAGGUAAAGCUGGGCACUCUGGCGAUACUGCCACCGUAAGGUGUGAGGAAGGUGGGGAUGACGUCAAAUCAGCACGGCCCUUACGUCCGGGGCUACACACGUGUUACAAUGGCGCAUACAGAGAGUCGGUUGCAUGUAAAUGUGAUCUAAUCAAUAAAGUGCGUCGUAGUUCGGACUGGGGUCUGCAACCCGACCCCACGAAGCUGGAUUCGCUAGUAAUCGCGCAUCAGCCAUGGCGCGGUGAAUACGUUCCCGG